GACGAACGCUGGCGGCGUGCCUAAUACAUGCAAGUUGAGCGAUGAAGAUUGGUGCUUGCACCAAUUUGAAGAGCAGCGAACGGGUGAGUAACGCGUGGGGAAUCUGCCUUUGAGCGGGGGACAACAUUUGGAAACGAAUGCUAAUACCGCAUAACAACUUUAAACAUAAGUUUUAAGUUUGAAAGAUGCAAUUGCAUCACUCAAAGAUGAUCCCGCGUUGUAUUAGCUAGUUGGUGAGGUAAAGGCUCACCAAGGCGAUGAUACAUAGCCGACCUGAGAGGGUGAUCGGCCACAUUGGGACGGGGACACGGCCCAAACUCCUACGGGAGGCAGCAGUAGGGAAUCUUCGGCAAUGGACGAAAGUCUGACCGAGCAACGCCGCGUGAGUGAAGAAGGUUUUCGGAUCGUAAAACUCUGUUGGUAGAGAAGAACGUUGGUGAGAGUGGAAAGCUCAUCAAGUGACGGUAACUACCCAGAAAGGGACGGCUAACUACGUG
RNAcentral lists this ribosomal RNA (497 nucleotides) under uncultured bacterium. RNAcentral describes it as "partial 16S ribosomal RNA". It matches the Rfam family "Bacterial small subunit ribosomal RNA", at positions 28 to 507 of the family's 1533-position model. The record is from RNAcentral.